Molecule: non-coding RNA, 1196 nt
Organism: Delphinapterus leucas (beluga whale)
Lineage: Eukaryota; Metazoa; Chordata; Mammalia; Artiodactyla; Monodontidae
Source: RefSeq, a predicted model, not a curated record
GCAGCAACGAAGACCCAACGCAACCAAAAAUAAAAAGGAAAUUAAAACAAAAAAAAAAGGCAGGAAGAGAAGGAUUCUUCUAUACCUCUGAAUGAGUCAGCCUAAGACCAAGAGGACGGAAUUAGGCAGGAGCCCAGGCUGCACAAUAUGGAAAAAGAGGCUCAGAGAAGUUAAGCGACUGGCUCAAGGUUGCUCAGCCAAUACAUGGCAGAGCAGGAUCCUGUCAUAGCCUUCUGGUUCUUUCCAUUGAGCUGUUCUGCUGCUUAGUUGACUGUCCCUUGGGAAGCAGCUCUGGAGAUCUUCCGUCUUGAUAAUGAAACGUGACUUUUAAAAAAGCUGUCAGCACAGGGGGAAGAAGGGAGUGAGUGAGGGAAGUUGUGCCCCCCCCAGAAGUUGCUGCUGAUUUUGCCCCUGCCAGCAAAGGGAACCACUCUCUCCUUGCCUCCGUUGUUCCAAUCUGUCAAAACACUUGAUGAGGCUCUAGAAACCAAGUUUUAUGAAGGAUGUGUGCAGAAUGAUGGCACGUUCCAACUGGAGAAGAGGAGACGCCAGGAAGAACCAUCACCACUCUCUUCAACCCACUGGUAGGUGGUGUGUGUAACUGGAAGGGUAGUCAGAUCUUGUGUGGCUCAAGAGGUAGAACUAAGAUCCAUGGGUGGGAGCUGGAGGGGGCCAGGUUCCAGGUCAGAAUAAGGAAGUUAGCAGCUACAAUAGAUAGGAGCUGAGCCAUGGUUCAAGCAGCUGUUACUGGAGGAAGCUUGCCCAUUAUUUACAUUAUCAUCGUCUUCAUCACCUGUAUCAUCAUCACUGUUUACUGAGCACGUACUGGGCGCCAGACCCUCUGCUAAGCACUUCACCUGCAUGAUCUCAGUUAGCGUCCCUUCUAUGUACUGUCACCUCCUUUUCUCUCCCUAUCCCCUAACCCCUCUGGCUUGUAGUUUUGGAGAGGUUUGGAGAUUGGAACAAGGAAUCUGGACAAGGCUGGAGAGUCUGGGGAGAGAUUGGUCCUGGUAGGGAGGUGCUUACAGAAGUGUAGGGCUUAGGAAACAGAGUAUUUGCCUGUUGCAAAACUAGAUUCACCCUUCUGUGUCUGAUAACCAGGCCUUGUCCUUAGUGGAGUGAGCAGAUAAAUGUGUCCUUUGCCUCAGCCUUCCCUUUCUGAUCCUCUUAGCUGCACAUGCCAUGAGAUAUACCAU